GUGGAAUCAUCACUGAAAAAAAGAAAUUUUGUGCUUGCUGCAGAUGGAAAUCAAGCCGUUCUGGACAUACACAUGGGCAGAAGAUGUAGCCGCCUUGUGUGAAAAUUUGAGAGCUCUCUACUCCAUCUUCCGCUAGUAUAACCCUCAUUGGCUGGAAUCAUAAUGGUAUCUGCAUCUGGAACUGGCCACUAGUAUAACACCUACAAAAUGCACAACGGCCUUCAGACCAUAUGAAAAGUCUACAGGGUGAGAAUCUGAAAAUCCAGCAAUGAGGAGAAAAAAGUUAUCUCCCAUUAAGAACACUUUCCAGAAGCUACACAAUUCCAGUUAUUGAUUCAUCCCAUUUACUAGAACCUGUUCAUCUGGCUAUGCCCAAAACCAAGGGAAACUGAAAUAGUGGUUACCAUAUUCUGUAACUCAGCCUAGCCUAGCUUCAGAAGUUUUAAUAAAGAAAA
This 455-nucleotide long non-coding RNA is filed under the name Homo sapiens (human). Its description in RNAcentral is "HSALNT0374440". The record is from RNAcentral. Lineage: Eukaryota; Metazoa; Chordata; Mammalia; Primates; Hominidae.